GAUGAACGCUAGCUACAGGCUUAACACAUGCAAGUCGAGGGACCGGCGCACGGGUGAGUAACACGUAUCCAACCUGCCCUUUACUCGGGGAUAGCCUUUCGAAAGAAAGAUUAAUAACAGAUAUACAGGAUGGGGAUGCGUUGCAUUAGGUUGUGGGUGAGGUAACGGCCAACCAAGCCUUCGAUGGUUAGGGGUUCUGGGAGGAAGGUCCCCCACAUUGGAACUGAGACACGGUCCAAACUGCGACGGGAGGCAAGAGUGAGGAAGAUAGGUCAAUGUGCGCUAGCCUGAACCAGCCAAGUAGCGGAAAGGAUGUAGGCUUAUGGGUCGUAAACUUCUUUUAUAUAAGAAUAGGUAUUAUAUCAAUAAGGAUCGGCUAACUCCGUGCCAGCCGCCGCGGUAAUUC
Molecule: ribosomal RNA, 406 nt
Filed under: uncultured bacterium
Lineage: Bacteria
Description: partial 16S ribosomal RNA
Rfam family: Bacterial small subunit ribosomal RNA
Source: RNAcentral